Molecule: ribosomal RNA, 429 nt
Filed under: bacterium
Lineage: Bacteria
Description: partial 16S ribosomal RNA
Rfam family: Bacterial small subunit ribosomal RNA
Source: RNAcentral
UAGGGAAUCUUCCACAAUGGACGCAAGUCUGAUGGAGCAACGCCGCGUGAGUGAAGAAGGUUUUCGGAUCGUAAAGCUCUGUUGUUGGUGAAGAAGGAUAGAGGUAGUAACUGGCCUUUAUUUGACGGUAAUCAACCAGAAAGUCACGGCUAACUACGUGCCAGCAGCCGCGGUAAUACGUAGGUGGCAAGCGUUGUCCGGAUUUAUUGGGCGUAAAGCGAGCGCAGGCGGAAGAAUAAGUCUGAUGUGAAAGCCCUCGGCUUAACCGAGGAACUGCAUCGGAAACUGUUUUUCUUGAGUGCAGAAGGGGAGAGUGGAAGUCCAUGUGUAGCGGUGGAAUGCGUAGAUAUAUGGAAGAACACCAGUGGCGAAGGCGGCUCUCUGGUCUGCAACUGACGCUGAGGCUCGAAAGCAUGGGUAGCGAACAAG